GGCGAACUGGUGAGUAACACGUGGGUAACCUGCCCAGAAGAAGGGGAUAACACCUGGAAACAGAUGCUAAUACCGUAUAACAACAAGAACCACAUGGUUCUUGUUUGAAAGCUGGCCUUUGUGCUAGUGCUUCUGGAUGGACCCGCGGCGUAUUAGCUAGUUGGUGAGAUAAUAGCUCACCAAGGCAAUGAUACGUAGCAGACCUGAGAGGGUAAUCUGCCACAAUGGGACUGAGACACGGCCCAUACUCCUACGGGAGGCAGCAGUAGGGAAUCUUCCACAAUGGACGAAAGUCUGAUGGAGCAACGCCGCGUGAGUGAAGAAGGGUUUCGGCUCNUAAAACUCUGUUGUUAGAGAAGAACAGCCGUGAGAGCAACUGCUCACGGUAUGACGGUAUCUAACCAGAAAGUNACGGCUAACUACGUGCCAACANCCGCGGUAAUACGUAGGUGGCAAACGUUGUCCGGAUUUAUUGGGCGUAAAGGGAGCGCAGGCGGUUUAUUAAGUCUGAUGUGAAAGCCUUCGGCUUAACCGGAGAAGUGCAUCGGAAACUGAUAAACUUGAGUGCAGAAAAGGAUAGUGGAACUUCAUGUGUAGCGGUGAAAUGCGUAGAUAUAUGAAGGAACACCAGUGGCGAAGGCGGCUAUCUGGUCUGUAACUGACGCUGAGGCUCGAAAGCAUGGGUAGCAAACAGGAUUAGAUACCCUGGUAGUCCAUGCCGUAAACGAUGAAUGCUAGGUGUUGGAAGGUUUCCGCCUUUCAGUGCCGCAGCUAACGCAUUAAGCAUUCCGCCUGGGGAGUACGACCGCAAGGUUGAAACUCAAA
RNAcentral lists this ribosomal RNA (825 nucleotides) under Fructilactobacillus sanfranciscensis. RNAcentral describes it as "bacterial SSU rRNA". It matches the Rfam family "Bacterial small subunit ribosomal RNA", at positions 97 to 905 of the family's 1533-position model. Lineage: Bacteria; Bacillati; Bacillota; Bacilli; Lactobacillales; Lactobacillaceae. The record is from RNAcentral.